Molecule: non-coding RNA, 733 nt
Organism: Pelobates cultripes (western spadefoot toad)
Lineage: Eukaryota; Metazoa; Chordata; Amphibia; Anura; Pelobatidae
Source: the annotation of a GenBank genome assembly
GGGAAAUCAGGGUUAUAGGGGCAGGGGUAACCAAGGAGGAAUAGACAGGAACACUUGUUUCAACUGUGGCCAAUAUGGCCACUGGAGGAAUGAGUGUCCACACCCCAGGAAACCCCAGGAAACCCCACACACCCCAACAACCCCACCUUUCUCAAAAUAUGCCCGGUAGGCAAGAACAACACCAGACCCACUCCCAACACCACUGGCCAGCAUAUCGCUUAGUUCAGGACUUUAGAGCCCUGAAUAGUUUAAUUGUGCCCAUUUCACCCAUUGUCCCUGAUGUGACAUCCCUCAUUACAGCCAUUCCACAUGAUGCCACUUGCUUCACUGUCAUUGAUUUAAGUAAUGCAUUUUUUUCUAUACCUAUUGAUCAAGAGACACAGCUACUUAUGGUUUUUACUUUUUGAAGGCUGUCAGUUUACCUGGACACGCUUACCCAAGGCUAUGUGGAUUCCCCAGCUGUUUAUUCGUUGGUACUCCAACAUACUCUAAAAAAACAUGGACCACCGGUCAUGGUUCCGUCCUUUUUGCAAAAUGUUGAUGAUUUGUUGUUAUGUAACCCUAGCUAUGAGGCAAGCACUGUGGAUACUGUCAGCAACUGUAGGUCACAAGGUUGUUAAACACAAAAUGCAAUUGUGUAAAUCAAAGGUUGAAUACUUAGGUUUUGUUCUGGCUUUAGGCACCAGACAAUUGAGUCCAAAACGUAUUGAGGUCAUUCAGAGGAUUCCUACAC